CUUGAAAAUCGGAUGGGAACUUUUCGGUCCCGAUGGAGCUCAGAUUGAAAAGGAUUAAAGUUUUCAAGUUGGCAAAGCAGAGUUGAACUCAGGAGGCGCUCAAACGAAUGCCGUCCCCUGAAACUAACCACAGUGAAGAGGCCAAAGUGAGUCAAGUGUGGUGGGAGAGUUUCAUGCUCACUGGCACGCUGGACAAGAUCGUUGGCAGCCAAUUGUUCAUGAGGGCUUGGAUGCAGUGAACCCGUUAAAUGAGGACCAAGGAGGACAUUCAGGGUAGACCAGCGCUACUGAAAUUAUUCAUCCUUUUCCCAGUUCUGGGAACGCCGCCAUGUUGGUCCCCCGGUGCAGCAGUGGAAGCCAACCAAA
Phycodurus eques (leafy seadragon) is the source of this 366-nucleotide long non-coding RNA. RefSeq lists it as uncharacterized. Lineage: Eukaryota; Metazoa; Chordata; Actinopteri; Syngnathiformes; Syngnathidae. The record is from RefSeq and is a predicted model, not a curated record. The transcript has 3 exons.